This 77-nucleotide transfer RNA is filed under the name Aspergillus cristatus. It matches the Rfam family "tRNA". From Rfam's summary of the family: Transfer RNA (tRNA) molecules are approximately 80 nucleotides in length. Their secondary structure includes four short double-helical elements and three loops (D, anti-codon, and T loops). The record is from Rfam by way of RNAcentral. Lineage: Eukaryota; Fungi; Ascomycota; Eurotiomycetes; Eurotiales; Aspergillaceae.
GGUCCUGUAGCUCAGUCGGCGGUUAGAGCGUGGUGCUAAUAACGCCAAGGUCGCGAGUUCGACCCUCGUCGGGACCA